Molecule: unclassified non-coding RNA, 407 nt
Filed under: Hevea brasiliensis (rubber tree)
Lineage: Eukaryota; Viridiplantae; Streptophyta; Magnoliopsida; Malpighiales; Euphorbiaceae
Source: RNAcentral
CCGUUCCAUAUCGCGUCAGGAUGGACCGCGUCUCCUAUAAUUUUCCAUCGUUCUAUAUGUAGUACCAACAAUUGGGAAGAUCACCAUGAAUCCGAUUGUCAUGGCAGCAACCGACCCAGUCAAGAUACUAGAGAUUUGCCGAGUCACUCCUUCUGACGCACCUGAGUCAGCUACUGAGUUAUCUCUCACUCUCACCCACUUCGACAUCUUUUGGCUCAAACAACACCCAACUGAGCGUAUCUUUUUCUAUGAGCUCACUGAUUCAACCCACACAUUUUUCCACUCAGUGAUCGUCGCUAAACUUAAAGCCUCUCUCUCCCUUACACUCCUCCACUUUCUCCCUCUCGCUGGAAACAUCUUGUGGCUCCCACACGCCGCCAUGCCAGCCAUCUGCUACUACCCAAACG